Molecule: ribosomal RNA, 226 nt
Filed under: uncultured bacterium
Lineage: Bacteria
Description: partial 16S ribosomal RNA
Rfam family: Bacterial small subunit ribosomal RNA
Source: RNAcentral
UGAGUAACACGUAUCCAACCUGCCGUCUACUCUUGGACAGCCUUCUGAAAGGAAGAUUAAUACAAGAUGGCAUCAUGAGUCCGCAUGUUCACAUGAUUAAAGGUAUUCCGGUAGACGAUGGGGAUGCGUUCCAUUAGAUAGUAGGCGGGGUAACGGCCCACCUAGUCUUCGAUGGAUAGGGGUUCUGAGAGGAAGGUCCCCCACAUUGGAAUGAGACACGGUCCAA